Molecule: long non-coding RNA, 298 nt
Organism: Cercocebus atys (sooty mangabey)
Lineage: Eukaryota; Metazoa; Chordata; Mammalia; Primates; Cercopithecidae
Exons: 3
Source: RefSeq, a predicted model, not a curated record
UUCCAUGAACUUCUCAAAAAGAAGGCUGGGAAGCUUUCUGUCUUGAUGAUUUGAGGACCCACUGGUUUCAGAGGUGCCACAUUUGGAACCAGAUCCGAGUCUCUAAGAGUCCCCAAACUCCAAAUUCAUCCUACUCUAUUAUGCAGAACUCCAGCUCCCAAACUCAGCUCCCAGCCCACUGUUCAGGUCAGAAACCCUCCAGAUCUUCAGCUGCACAAAAAUACAUUGCAAGGAAUAGCAGCCUCCUCUCAGAAGGGAGAGAUGGAAUCUCGCUCUGUUGCCCAGGCUGGAGUACAGA